AGCCCCGUCGUCUAGCGGCCAAGGAUGCAGGACUUUGGAUCCUGCGACGGCGGUUCGAAUCCGCCCGGGGCUA
RNAcentral lists this transfer RNA (73 nucleotides) under Microcaldota archaeon. Its description in RNAcentral is "tRNA-Gln". It matches the Rfam family "tRNA". Rfam says of the family: Transfer RNA (tRNA) molecules are approximately 80 nucleotides in length. Their secondary structure includes four short double-helical elements and three loops (D, anti-codon, and T loops). The record is from RNAcentral. Lineage: Archaea; Nanobdellati; Microcaldota.